This is a long non-coding RNA of Mesocricetus auratus (golden hamster), 2671 nucleotides long. RefSeq lists it as uncharacterized. Lineage: Eukaryota; Metazoa; Chordata; Mammalia; Rodentia; Cricetidae. The record is from RefSeq and is a predicted model, not a curated record. The transcript has 2 exons.
CCAGGUGACUGGUGGGGAAAAAACCAAGUGGCAGACAAGAAAAAGGCAUCUCUACACAGAUCAACUAAUCACAAAUGGAAUUUCAGGGAAAAUUCUUUGUAAGUCCUCACCUUGAAAGGCUUUAUCAUCUUAAGAAGUUUGGACUUCAUCCUGACAGCAAAUAGAUGAUGAAUGAGACAAUUCUAGCUGCAAUAUGAAGAAUGGAGUGAACAGAGUAAUGCUGGAGACAUUGACUCAAAUUAGGCACAUAGGUGAGAGACGAAAAUAACUAGGGUAGAUAUUAGCAACAGAGCUAAGUAGAGAUAUUCAUGGGACAGAAGAUUUGGGACUUUAUGACUGGUUUGCUACAUGAGGAGCAGGAAUUAACGAUGACAGAUAGGUGAGACCAGGGCGAAGAGAUAUGUAGUGGUGCUUGCUUGAGGUAUGAGGGUUGGGACUACAAAAGGGGAAUUGCCAGUCAGUUCAUUAGAACAGGCAGUUGAUUGACUGGCUCACCACACUUUUGUAGGUUCAUGUGGUAAGAAAUCCUGAGUUCAUGUAGUUUAUCACUCAAAGCAAAGUAGGCUUCAUGGUCUUUGUGUUUUUAUUGGUUCCCAAAGACCUGUGAUGCAGAGUGAGGCACAUUUAGAUGAUGUACUCACAAUCUGUGUACUUCUGAUUUUCUUAGAGGUUACUAGCAAAUUUAUGCAACCUUAUUCUGGAGGGUGACCUAGUCUCUGAGUCCUAUUCUGUAAUAAAUGUAUCCUUCCCACAGCAACACCGUGCACAAUGCAUUGGUUUCCAAUAAUAUCCAAAUAAAUAUUUUCUGUGGACACUACAUUUUGUAUUCAGCAUGAAUAUAGAAGUUAGGUAAAAGCAAAAUCUAUUAACUUUGGCUAUGUUAAAUGAUGCCAUGACAUUUUUGAGAUAGUUAAGGCAAUAUUAGUACGUGAGAGUCAAUACUUGAUUAAUUACAGACUGAAUCUGUCUAGGUUUCCUCUUCAAUUCUCAUGAGAUCUAAUAAUCUGCUAGUGUUCCAAAAACAAGAAAUAGAAAAGAGUGUGGUGAGAUGAUAUGUACAACAUACUAGUAACUGGUCUUACAACUGUGACUUCUGUCUGUGUUGGUUUCCAAUAGGAAUAAAAUACAAGGGACACACGUGAGCCAUAUAUAUAUAAACAUUCUGGAAUUCAUGUUUUAAAAAAGUAAAGAGAAACAGGUAAAAUAAAAUUUAAUAAUAUAUCUUUAUUUAGCCCAAUAUGUAAAAUCAUUCUUUUUAACACACAUUCGGCAUAAAUACUUUUGUGGGUUUUUUUAUUUUAAACUUUGAAAUAUAGUAUGUAUCACAUUCUUGUGAGAAGCUCUAAUUUGGGUCAGACACAUUAUAAGCACUCAAUAGUCAUUUGUGUCUACUGAGUACCAUAUUGAACAGAGCAAAUCUAGACUCCAAGAAGAGCAAAUUAUAUUUCAUUAUACCUGUGGAAUCUAAGUGUGUUUUGGGUCUUGCAAGACUAAACAUUAUAACAUAUUUCAUCUUACACAAUCUAAGUUUGUAAGGUAUUUUAUCAACCGAGAAUUUCCUACAGUGUAUUUUGAUCAGAUACGAUCACACUCCUCUCCUCCCCUGGAUUCACUUCCACUUCCUGGUUUCCAGUUUCCUUACAUUCCUUCUGCUUCCUCUUCUGUAAUGGUGCUGGAGACUUGAGGCAGAAUUGAGGUAUAGGCGUCAGGCUUGUGGCUGAGCACUGAUACCUAUUCUCCAUACCUUGACCUGUUGUGAGUUUCUGUGUUAAUCACCAUUCACUGCACAAAGAAACGUCUUUUAUGAAGCCUGAGAGCUGCAUUAAUCUAUGGGUAAGGAGAUGCAAAUUUAGAGAUUAGUUUGAUACUGUGUCCAUUUAGUGGAAUAACAUUAGUUAGUUCACUCCUGGAGCCUGUGGUCUCCCUUAACCAUGACUAAAGAGUCAGAUUGACAGUACCAAGCAAGUAUUAUUUUCUGGUGGGGCUGGCCAUAAAUACUAUCAGAAGACAAUCAAUCAGCUACUUUCAUAAUAUUCAUGCCAAUAUUCAAUUCAUGGACUUGUCUAGACUUCAAGAACAGCAAAUUUUAUUUCAUUAUAACUGUGGAAUAUGUUUGUUUCGUGUGUUAAAAGACACACAAAAUUUCAAUUAAAUUAAAUUUCAAAAGCAAUCUAAUGUGGCAACUAACACUACAAUGAAAAAAACCCAAAACUAUAAUAUUUAUUUAAUACCCCUCCAUGAGUGUGUUUUACUUAAAAACAGAUAUAUAUAUUGUUGUAUCUAUAGGAAAAACCUUGGGGAGUGAACUGAUCUAUGGGAUCUAUUAUUGGUAAGACAGUCUAGAAUUUUGUUAAGCAGAUUAGGUGCCCCAAUUUCACACUAAUACUGUGAAAAUAUAUUAGUCCAAUGUGCAUAUUUUAUCUUUAAGGAAAACAUUAUGUGUUAGAAGAAUUGUUACAUUUUACCAUUUAAUUUGUAUAUAUUCAUUGUACAAAAUAAUAGUUUUCAGGACAUUAUAAUACAUGUAUAUCAUGUACUUUGUCUCCCCUCAAUGACCUCCAUUUAUUCAUUCUACUCCCUAUUAUUGGUCCUUUUUCUCUUUCUAUUUCUACUUUAUAGUUUUUAUUUAAAAAUAUAGAUUCCACUUAUUAAAAAAUAUUUGUCUUUCUGA